RNAcentral lists this long non-coding RNA (285 nucleotides) under Prunus persica (peach). RNAcentral's name for it is "long non-coding RNA (PPER_LNC000628)". Lineage: Eukaryota; Viridiplantae; Streptophyta; Magnoliopsida; Rosales; Rosaceae. The record is from RNAcentral.
AAACUUGAAAGUGAAAACAAACAUAUUUCAGUUUAAACUAAAAAAAUUUAGUUUUUGUUUUCACUUUUAUUACUCAUCCUUCCUAUCCUCCCCUCUCAAUCCCAUCUAACACUCAUUUUCACUUUCCUUUUUCCUCUUUUUUCUCUGUACUCUAGUGCAAAAAAAAAAAAAAAAAAAGAAGAAAAGAAUAAGAAAUGAUUAUCAAACGGAACUUAACUUUUAACUAAUUUUAAUUUAAUUUGAGUGUCAGAUUUUCAGCACCAUUUGAAUAACAUUUUCUCUAAU